UGAGGGAAAGUUUCAAAGCACUUUGAAAAGAGGGUGAAAAGAACCUGAAACCGUUAUGGGGGAAGCGUAUUGGGUCAAAUUGAUUUGGGGGAGUGCUGCUGUUCAACGGGGUGAUUCCCGUGUACUCAGUGCAUUUUCUUACCCGUCGUGUGCUUUGGAUGGUCGAUUUUGGGCUGUCUGGGGCUGAGGGAUCCCCUUUUAUAGGGUGAAGACGAUGGGGCGCUGACACGAUACGACCCGUCUUGAAACACGGACCAAGGAGUUCAGCAUGUGUGCGAGUCAAAGGGUGAUUAAACCUGGGGGCGCAGUGAAAGCAACUUUUGUGUAAGGGAAUCCAACAUUAAGCAGUUUCAGGCGGCAUACGAUCGUUGAUUGUAGGACUGACCUAGAGCACAUGUGCUGAGACCCGAAAGAUGGUGAACUAUGCCGGAGUAGGGCGAAGCCAGAGGAAACUCUGGUGGAGGCUCGUAGCGGUGCUGACGUGCAAAUCGCUCGUCUGACUCGGGUAUAGGGGCGAAAGACUAAUCGAACCAUCUAGUAGCUGGUUUCCUCCGAAGUUUCUCUCAGGAUAGCAGGCCGACGAAUAAGCAUGAAGUCUCAGUUGUUGUGUGCGGUAAAGCGAAUGAUUAGCGUAUUUGGGGGUGAUUA
RNAcentral lists this ribosomal RNA (648 nucleotides) under Cryptopleura ramosa. Its description in RNAcentral is "eukaryotic LSU rRNA". It matches the Rfam family "Eukaryotic large subunit ribosomal RNA", at positions 354 to 1042 of the family's 3401-position model. The record is from RNAcentral. Lineage: Eukaryota; Rhodophyta; Florideophyceae; Ceramiales; Delesseriaceae.